Molecule: ribosomal RNA, 253 nt
Filed under: uncultured bacterium
Lineage: Bacteria
Description: partial 16S ribosomal RNA
Rfam family: Bacterial small subunit ribosomal RNA
Source: RNAcentral
UACGUAGGUGGCAAGCGUUGUCCGGAUUUAUUGGGUUUAAAGGGUGCGUAGGCGGCCCUGUAAGUCAGUGGUGAAAUACGGCAGCUCAACUGUCGAGGUGCCAUUGAUACUGCGGGGCUUGAGUGUUAAUGAGGUAGGCGGAAUUGACGGUGUAGCGGUGAAAUGCUUAGAUAUCGUCAAGAACACCGAUAGCGAAGGCAGCUUACCAAGCAAUAACUGACGCUGAGGCACGAAAGUGCGGGGAUCAAACAGG